Molecule: non-coding RNA, 77 nt
Organism: Ensifer sp. LCM 4579
Lineage: Bacteria; Pseudomonadati; Pseudomonadota; Alphaproteobacteria; Hyphomicrobiales; Rhizobiaceae
Source: Rfam
CGAAUGGGGUGAGCGAAUACCCCACGAGGCGUCAUGCCGGAAUUCGCGUCCAUCAUAAACAAGGACGUCGUAUCAUG